GCGGAGCUUUCUUUCUAUCAUUUAAUAGUCCUAUGCGUUGUAUCUUACUAUUAUUUUUAAUGCGAAAAAGUGGUGGUUUGGUCAGUGUAAGCCCGAUGGGUAUGGUGGGGGCGGCGUGCAUCGGCCUGUUAUGCUUCCACCGUCAAGAGAGGGAGGUUAUCGCUGCUCUGUGAAGCCAGCCUGACGCGGUGUCCUCCGCUUUAGAAUCGCAUGUGACUCAGGCCUACGCCAGGACCGCACUGCGAAGCUGCCUGACUUGGAACGGGCAAGCCAAGUCUGGAAAUCACCGGACCCAACCCAAUAGAGCUGAACACAACAUCCCACCACAUCCUUGCCCCCACUCGGGUUACAAGCCUGCGUUACUGGGCUCGGCGAUCGAGGGCCUUCCGCAGCCUCAUAUAACUUUUUGCGAGACUCUAAAUAUUGGCGAUGUGGGACUAAGAGCACUUCCUCCGCUCCCUCCUUUCCCUUUCCGAAAAUUCAUGCACCGCGUGCUUUCUGAGAGAACCCGAAUUGCACCCAAACUUUCGAUCAUGGUUCUUACCACCUUUUCAUCACCUAAAACUAUUUCAUCGGCAAAGAGGCCAUUUGAAUAAGGUCACUAUUCAAAAGCUUAAGAAUAAGGUUACUAUUUAAAUGCUCGAGUUUUUAGAAAAUAAUAAAGUAGAAGAUAUCAAUAGAAUUGUGUUAAUCAUCACCUCUUUACUCUAACGUUUAUCAUCUUUAUAAAAAUUAUCAAAAGAUAAAAGGUGCUUCAUCUCCUUCUCUUUGAAGUUUAUUUUUAGGUUGCCCUUCGUCCUUGUACAUUUUUCAAUGAUAAAUCAUAUAUAAGAUUUAUGACCCAAUGAGCUAUCUCCUUUCAAGAUGAGUCUAUCAAUAUUAAUAUCAAUUUGUCUCUCUGUGACUCCUGAGGUCGAGGUAAGUGUUCUUGGUGCUUAAGGAUGAAUCGCGCAAGAUAAAUCUGAUGUAUGAAUUCUUCAAUAUCCUUUUUCAAGUCUCGAUAUUCAUUUGUGUCAUGGACGUAAUUCAGAUAGAACCGAUAAUAUUUAGAUCCGUCUUUUUUUGCCAAUGAAGUAUUCAUCGAGUGAGAGUCUUUUAAGAGUCUCUUUCCUUUUAUCGGUAGAAAAAAACUUUAAUUCUAAGCAUAUUCAAGGGGGUUAGCUCAGACCUUGGGCGAGGUAACUCAAGUCGUUCGUUCUUCCUCUAUUGUGAUGACCUCGGGGUCGGGGUGGACUAUAGUUGCUCUUACUUCGACCUCUUGUGCGGCUGACUCUUUACGCUUACCAGAUAUUAUUAUCCUGAUGGUAAUAUAUUGAUUGACUCUUUGAAGUGCCUGUAGUAUUGUCGCCGAUGACCUCUCCACUAACGACGAGAAGAGAUGAGAGGACUUGAGACUCAUCAUGAAGGUUUGUAUCAAGAGUGACGAACGGAUAUACCACGCUUUGGAUUUUAUUAAUGAAACUAAGUGAUGAAGUUUGUAAGAAUUUCCUUCAAUUGCAUGAAUACGAGAAGCAUUGACAUUGCUAGCCUCGGGUGCACAUUCCCGAUGAAGUGAAAUUCAAACUUCCUCGUGAACUAGGUAAUGAAACUGAUGGAGAGUGGCUUCAGAUAUAAGUAUCAUUCUCGUGUUAGGUCUCUUAAUAUAGUCGAGAAUGUGUGACACAUCAAGGCAUCCGAAGUGUCAUACAAUAAUAUUUAGGCAUGGAAAGUUAUAAUGUGCUCCAUUGGGUUAGCAUUGCCAUCGAAUGCCUCCAACGACGGUGGUGGAAGAUUGUUAGAAUCGAUUCUUCCUAAAUUUUCUAGAUAAAUGAUGACCGACUCGAGGUGGAGUUAACCAAUGCUUCCCUUUUGGAUUAUUAAAAUUUUUAUCAUAUCUCCUUCAAACGAUGAUCCAUCUAUCAUAGUUGGAUUUGCAAGGAAUCCUUCAUCAAAUUCGUCGAUCUAGUCUCUGAUUUAAGCAUGAUAGAAUCGUGAUAUGGAAUGCUAAAUUUCAUGAUUAUGGAGCGAAGUGCUCUCUCGGCCAUGAUUCGAUAGGUUUUGGGUACUUUUAGGAUGUAACACUAUGUUGGAUGGGGGAAAGUUGAUGGGUGCUAGUGGUGGGUGAGCCAGUGACAACAACUGAGUUAGUGGCGUUGUCUAUUAAGCUAACUAGGGUAAAUGUUAGAGAUUUUAAUAUAUAAAAGAAGUUUUAUAUUUUAAUAUAUAGAAUAUGCAUACUUGCAAGGCAUCUUAUGUUUGUCAAUUGUUGUCACCCCUUUUUUCUUAUUUAAGAUCCCUUCUGAUUUUUUUAAUCAUAAUUAUAUUUUUACUGUUUUUUAAUAUUUAAUUCCUUCCAUCGAAAGAAAUGAACUUGAAUAACGAGAUGAUAUAAUAAAAGACACAAUAUCAACAAAAAUUUCUCAAGACCUACAUAAAGAAAAAACAAUUCUUUGUAAAAAGAGAAAAAGCUAUAUUAAUUAGCAAAAACUAAAAAAAAACGAAGAGCCGUUAGUAGCCUCCGAGGAAGAACAAAAAGUGGGUCAGCCUAUAAAAGUUGGCGUUGCCAUGGGGCUAAGGAGUUACAAAACCUAUCAACAACCAAUCCAAACAAACCAUGCAAAUCAACAACUAUACAAAGAUGAAUGAUGAUCUUAUUAAAUAUUAAACUUAAUAUUUAUGAAGCAAAAUGAAUGUGCUUGUCACAAUAAAAUCAUAAGAGUUCACGAGUGCUUAAGUUUUUUUUACGGCUAGAAUAAUGGAAUAGAUAAAACUUUGGUCGAGCUUACGAACAUAAAAAACGAAAAAAAAAUUAAAAUUUUGGUUAUGUAAAAGCUCAAUAAGAGUUCAAAAUUGGUUAAACUAAUCAGUGUUGCCCAUUUGUGACUGACAUCCACACGAGAUAGCCGAUUAGUUAUUUUUUAUUACUGGAAUAACGUGCAUCUCGACACUGCACAUUGACAAAGCCGAGCGCAUACCUUCCAUUGUCAAAAUCAACUAUGCUAAUGAUCAUGUUAGUGCGAUGGGUUCACUCUGUCAUUUGCCUACGCAUACAAUAUAUACUUUAGAAAACACAGAUAUAUUGAAAUUGCAUAGUUCGUCGUGAUCCUUUCUAAUCCCACACCAUGGGCCUUUAGCGGAUGAUGAGAUGGGACAUACUUCGGUAUCUCAGUAAAGUCAGAGCUCAUUCCUUAAAGGUUUUAUUAUAUUAAUUAUUGAGAGAUUAUAGAUUUUCUUUUAUUUUUUUUUGUUUUUAAUACAUCGCUCGUAGUAGUCUUAUGAAAGAUAAAAAGAGAAGAGAAUACGACUACAGUAGUAGCGACAACUAUAGCUUCAUCGCUACCACUAUGGUGAUUGUUGUAGCUUGUUGUGAUUGUAGCAUUAUCGUUGCUUAGGGCAACUACAACAAUGUCGUUGCGGCAUUUGUUGGCCAUGGCUGUUGAUAAGUCGCAUGCGAAGAGCUAUGCAACCACGAGCGAUGCAGGCGACGAAUGACCAGUGCACCAUCAACAAGACCUGCAAGUGUGGGCGUAGUGGGAUGCGACGACGACAACAACAUGAGAAUUUGAUUUUUUUUAAAGCACAUUUUUGUACCUCGAAUGCAUCUUGAUAUAAGAAAAUCAUAUCUCCUAAGGGCUCUUCACUGAUUUAAUCACCCGAGGAGAAGCACAAGUAAAAUUCUCCUACAUCAUUAGAAUCCAUGAAGUGAUAUAUAACACGAAUUACGAUCAGACCUAAACAAAAGAGGAAUCUCUCGAGCGACAUAACAAAAAUGAAUCCCAUAUUUGCUCUUUACAAUCAAUCUUUUGGCAUUCACUAAAAGUUAGACUAAUUUAGUUGAUAAAAAUCUUCGUUGUAUUUUUUAAAUAUUAUUAUAAAAAUGAAUCCCAUAUUUGCUCUUUACAAUCAAUCUUUUGGCAUUCACUAAAAGUUAGACUAAUUUAGUUGAUAAAAAUUUUCGUUGUAUUUUCUAAAUAUUAUUAUCAGUGUUGUCCCUCUUGAGAUAAAAAAAAGAAAUCGGUGUGCAAAAAGUGGUGGUCUGGUCAGUGUUAGCCCGAUAGGUACGGCGGGUGUGGCGUGCACCGGCCUGUUAUCCUUCCACCGUCAAGAGCGGGAGGUUAUCGCUGCUCUGUGAAACCAGCCUGACGCGGUGUCCUCCGCUUUAGGAUCCCAGAUAGCUCGGGCCUUCGUUCGAGCCACAUAGCUCAGCUGCCUGACUUGGAACGGGCAAGCCAAGUCUAGCACGACCGCACCCAACCUAUUCGGGCUGAACACAACAUUCCACCACCUUAUUGCCCCCACUAGGGUUACAAGCCGGCGUUACCGGGCUCGGCGAUCGAGGCGCUUCCACAACUUCAUAUAGCCUGUCAGUGAAUCCUAAAAAUUGGCGAUGUGGGACUAAAAACGCUCCCUCCUUUUUCCUUUCCGAACAUUCGUGCACCGCAUGCUUUCCAGGAGAAACCCGAAUUGCAUCUAAAGUUUCGAUCAUGGUUCCCCACCACCUAAAACCAUUCCAUCCCCUUCGAACAGACCAACAGAAGAUGCCCUGCAGACCCCUCCAGAUUACCCGACUCCUAAUCUUGAAACCUCGAAACCCAAUGCUCUCCUGCAUCGGGGAUUCAACAUGUUUCGAGCUAAAUUUCUCCUACAUCAGCUGACCGCAAUGCUGUAACUUUGGUGAUGAUGAAGAGGUGUAAGCUGAUAAAUGCUAUAACAAUGCCCGAAUACGUUGUCGGCCUCGUUGCAGAAGAGGAUCGACUUUUAGAUUGUGAAUCUGUGUCUUUGAACAUAGAUGCGCUAGCAUGUAUAUAAACCAUUACUUCUUAAUUCGAUGACAUUAAUAAAUAUAAUUGAUACGUCAUAUUUUGGCCUCGAAGACAUAUCAGGUCAGAAUCCAUACUAAGGCACUGCUUGACACGUCACAUCUUGGGAACCACAAGACACGCCAAGUCAGAAUCCAUACUAAGGCACUGCUCGGCAUGUCACGCCUCAGGAACCCCGAGACGGCGCCGCCCCCAAGACACGCCAAGUCAGAAUCUGUACUAAGGCACUGCUCGGCACGUCUACCAUGCCAAACCUCGUACGACUGACCCACGUACAAUAAUAUAAAGACCUCUGGCCGGCAUCUGGCUAGGAGGGGAAAAAAGGUGGUAAAAUCAAUUGAUCACUCUACUGACUUGUUCGUCAGAGGGUUCUCGUCGGGAAUCACCCAACGAGGGCCAUUUUUGAAGGAAAAUGCAGCCACCUCACGAAGACGAGCUACCAACCACCCGAGAAUCCCCAUCCAGUGCACGAAGGAGAGCAGCCAAUCGGUCCAUAUCCUAAACAAUGCCAACCAGUACUCCUUCUCGAGGGCUUGACCACCUCACGAAGAUGAGCUGCCAACCACCUCAGAAAAAGAGAGACGUAGCUCGACAUACACGACGCUCGGAUCGGCACACCAAGGAACACUGAUCAACACCCCAUUGCAAGGGCCCGAUAGACCUCGAUAUCCAACUCAACCGAUAGAAGACUCCCGACAUCGACCCGUAGACCAGGCUGUGCUAACUCACAAGCCACAGCACAUUUGUUUACUAACAUUUUGACGCUAGAAGGAGGGCAUGUCGCAAGAGCAACAGAUAGGGGUCCUCCCCGAGGGAGAACCACCGACCGACCUCCCUUUUGUUAAACCAAAAAGUCAGGCCUUCCCCACCCCCGGAGACAGGAGGAUCCCGGCUUCGAUGCUAGAUCGCUACUGUCGUCUGUUCAACGACCCGGGAUUGUCACCCCCGAGGCUCACCAUAGGGCCCUCGGUCGUGACACCCGAGGCAUUCCUUAGCCUAACCAAGCAAGUACAGGCCAUGGCGGGCAUGAUGUAGACGCUCGCUCCAAUCAUUCCUCAGAUCGUGCGGCUAGCGACGCCCCCGACCGACCCGUCCCAACAGCGACCGAACAGGGAGCAGGUCGGGACUGGAGAAGCCCAAGAGCAAGCAACGGACUCGAGAGGUCCGCCCGAGUAGAGCAUACUCGCACCCUGCCGAAUCACACCGCUCCACUCCGAGCCCGACACCAUAUCGUCCGACUCGGUGGAUGACUCGUUCAGGAUCCAGUUGUCUCGGAUCAACCAACGCUUGGAUGAGUUCCAGCGCGAGUUCCAGAAAUCGCGAUGCAAGUCGAAUGAAGGCGGCUCGGGCGAAUCGCCUUUCACUCAGGAAAUACAUGACAAGCCUGUACCACUCGACUUUAGGUUGCCCACAUUAGAGAUGUACGACGGCGGCUCUGACCCCGCAGAGCAUGUCGUCAUGUUUCGGGCUCAGCUAUGGCACCUCCAAUGCAUUGAUGUGUCGGGAAUUCCCGACCACCUUCAGGGGCCAGCACGAGCGUGAUUCAACCGGCUGCGCCAGUCCUCAGUCUCAUCCUUCGACCAGCUCACAAGGGAGUUCGAGCAAAACUUCCUCACCAACGUGCAACCCAAGCCUUCUAUCGCUACACUGCUGGCGUUAUCUCAACACGAGGAUGAGUCGCUCUCUCAGUUCGUGGCACAUUUAGCCACCGAGAUCUAUGAAUUUUCGGACGCUCAUCUCUCUCUAAUAAUGCAGGUGUUUCUGAUGGGCUUGAAACCUUCAAGGUUCUUUUGGUCACUAAUCGAGAAGCCUCCAGUAACCAUCCCCGAGAUGCUCCAAUGCGUCAACCAGUACAUCGCCGCCAAAGCUCUGGUGGUGGGAAAGUGCAUGGACAGCAAGAGGCCAAGGGCGAAACAAUCCCGGGGAACGACUUCCGUAGCCCCAGUGCAACCCCGCUAGAGGCUUGACUGACAAGAGCUACUGCUCCUGAGGCCCCCGCCUCUCCCUCUGAGCAUGUUCCACCAGGACUAUGACCACGGCACGGAAGAUUGCUGUGACCUCCAGAAUCAAAUCGAGGACUUGAUCCGAAAAGGUUAUCUCAAGUGCUAUGUCAAGGAAACCCGAGAAGCAACUCCAUGUCCUAGGGGACCCUUCGAAAGACGCCUCAUCAUCCAAAAUAUCAUGUCGAAAAGCCACUCGCGACAAGAGGUCCACAAGCUCGCCAGAUCGGUUCCCGACCUGCGACUCGCCGACCCAUCUCUUGCCUGAGCCGCUCUAGAUCGGUUCCCGACCUGUGCCUUGCCGGCCCAGCUUUUGCCCAAGUUGCUCCAGAUCAGUUCUCGACCUGCAGCUCGCCAGCCCAGCUCUUGCCCGAGUUGCUCUAUAUCGAUUCCCGACCCGCGGCUCGCCGGCCGAGCAUUUGUCCGAGCCGCUCCAGAUUGGUUCCCGACCUAUGGCUCACCGGCCCAGCUCUCAUUCGAGUCGCCCCAAAUCGGUUCCCGACCUGCAGCUCGCCGGCCCAGCUCUUGCCCGAGCCGCUCCAGAUCGGUUCCCGUCCUGCGGCCCGUUGGCCCAGCUCUUACCCAAGUCGCUCAAGAUUAGUUCUCGACCUCAGGCUCGCCGGCCUAGCUCUUGCCUGAGCCGCUCUAGAUCGAUUCUCGACCUGCGGCUCGCCGGCCUAGCUCUUGCCCAAGCGGCUCCAGAUCGGUUCUCGACCUGUGCCUCGCGGGCUCAGCUUUUGCCCGAGUCACUCCAGAUCGGUUCCCGACCUACGGCUCGUCGGCCCAACUCUCACCCGAGUAGCUCCAGAUCGGUUCUCGACUUGUGGCUCGCCAGCCCAACUCUUGCCCGAGCCACUCCAGAUCGGUUUCCGACCUGCGGCUCGUCGGCCCAACUCUUGCCCGAGUUGCUCUAGAUCGAUUCCCGACUUGCGGCUCUCUAGCCCAGCUCUUGCCCGAGCCAUCCAGAUCGAUUCCUGACCUGCGGGUAGCCAGCCCAGCUCUUGCCCAAGCGCUCUAGAUAAGUUCCUGACCUGUGCCUCGCUGGCCCAGUUCCUGCCCGGGUUGUUCCAGUUUGCUCCUGACUUUCGAUUCGGAGUCGAGCUUACUCACUUGGUCCCCAGAUUCAAUUCGGAGCCGAGCUUACUCACUCGGUCCCCAUAUCCGAUUCGGAGCCAAGCUUACUCACUCGGUCCCUAGGUUCAAUUCGGAGCCGAGUUUACUCACUCGGUCCCUAUGUUCAAUUCGGGGAGCCGAGCUUACUCACUUGGUCCCCAGAUUCAAUUCGGAGCCGAGCUUACUCACUCGGUCCCCAUAUUCGAUUCAAAUUCGAGCUUACUCACUUAGUCCCUAGGUUCAAUUUGGAGCCGAGCUUAGUCACUCGGUCCCUAGAUCCGAUUUAGAGCCGAGCUUACUCACUCGGUCUCCAGAUUCGAUUCGGAGUCGAGCUUACUCACUCGGUCCCCAGAUCCGAUUCAGAGCCGAGCUUACUCACUCAGUCCCCAGGUUCAAUUCGGAGCAGAGCUUAGUCACUCGGUCCCCAAGUUCAAUUCAGAGCUGAGCUUAUUCACUUGAUCCCCAGGUUCAAAUCGGAGAUAAGCUUAUUCACUCGGUCCCUAGGUUUGAUUCGGAGUCGAGCUUACUCACUCGGUCCCCAGGCUUAAUUCGGAGCCGGGCUUACUCACUCGGUCACCAGGUUCAGUUUGGAGCCGAGCUUAGUCACUCAAUCCCCAGGUUCAAUUCAGAGUCGAACUUAUUCACUCGAUCCCCAGGUUCAAAUCAGAGAUGAGCUUAGUCACUCAGUCCUCAGGUUCAUUUCUUGCUCGGGUCGCUCCAGAUCGCUCCCGACUUGCUACCCAUCGACACCGAAACCCGAGCCCGAGCUCGGUCACUCGACCCAUAGGCCCAAUCCAGUGUCCGAGCCACGCAUCUCAGCCAAUCCAACGCCCGAGUCGCAUCUCGGCCAAAUCCAAUGCCCGAGUCGCAUCUCGGCCAAAUCCAGCAUCCGAGCCACGCACCUCGGCCAUCCAACACCCGAGCCACGCAACUCGGCCAAUCUAACGCCCGAGUCGCAUCUUGGCCAAAUCCAAUGCCCGAGUCACAUCUCGGCCAAAUCCAACGUCCAAGCCACACACCUCGGCCAUCCAAAGCUCGAGCCACGCAUCUCGGCCAAUCCAAUGCCCAAGUCGUAUCUCGGCCAAUCCAAUACCCAAGUCGCAUCUCGACCAAAUCCAACGUCCAAGCCAUGCACAUUGCCCAUCCAAUGCCCGAGCCACGCAUCUCGACCGAUCCAACACCCGAGUAGCAUCUUGGCCGGUCCAAACGCCCGAACCACACAUCUUGGCCGAUCCAAUGCCCGAGCCAUACCUUGCGGCCAAUCUUAUGCCCGAGUCACAUCUCGAUCGAUCCAACGCCCGAAUCACCGGCCUAGUCUGUUAAUCCAAGUCGCUCCACGUCAACCCCUGACUAGCUACCCGUCAAGUCUCUAAACCGAGCCACCCCGGCUCGCUCGCCAACUUGCAAACUCGGCAGUUGUAACACCAAGUCGUGCCAAACCCGUUAUCUAACCUACGACACGUCGGUGUCGCCUCGUCGGUUUCGCCACGUCGGUUUCGACACGUUGGUUUUGCCUCGUCAGGCCCCUGCCUCCUGAUCAGUAGAGUCGAUCUUGCACGAAGCAUGGGGCGCUACCCUUCUAAAUCGCCCCAUGACGAGUUAAUCCAACUUCCCCUCAUGAACGAUCAGCCUCACUUCGAAGUAUCAUAUAAUAAUAUUUGGGCAUGGAAAGUUAUAAUGUCCUCCAUUGGGUUAGCAUUGCCAUCGAAUGCCUCCAACGACGAUGGUGGAAGAUUGUUAGAAUCGAUUCUUCCUGAAUUUUCUAGGUGAAUGAUGAUCGACUCGAGGUGGAGUCAACCAACGCUUCCUUUUUGGAUUAUUAAAUUUUUUAUCAUAUCUCCUCUAAAUGUCGGUCCAUCUAUGAUAGUUGGAUUCGCAAGGAAUCCUUCAUCAAUUUCGUCAACCUAGCCUCUGAUUUAAGCAUGAUAGAGUCAUGAUGUGGUAUGUUAAAUUUAUGGUGAUGGAGCGAAGUACUCUCUUGACCAUGAUUGGAUAGGUUUCGGGUACUCUUAGGAUGUCAACAUUAUGUUGGGUGGGGGAACAUUGAUUGGUGGGUGAGCUAUUGGGCUAACUAGCGUAAAUGUUAGAGAUUUUAAUAUAUAGAAUAUGCAUACUUGCAAGGCAUCUCAUGUAUGUCAAUUGUUGCAACCCCUUUUUUUUCUUAUUUAAGAUCCCUUCUGUUUUUUGAAUCAUAAUUAUAUUUUAACUGUUUUUUAAUAUUUAAUUCCUUCCAUCGAAAGAAAUGAACUUGAAUAACGAGAUGAUAUAAUAAAAGACACAAUAUCAACAAAAAUUUCUCAAGACCUACGUAAAGAAAAAAAAAUUCUUUGUAAAAAGAGAAAAAGCUAUAUUAAUUAGCAAAAACUAAAAAAAACGAAGAGCCGUUAGUAGCCUCCGAGGAAGAACAAAAAGUGGGUCAGCCUAUNNNNNNNNNNNNNNNNNNNNUCAACUAUGCUAAUGAUCAUGUUAGUGCGAUGGGUUCACUCUGUCAUUUGCCUACGCAUACAAUAUAUACUUUAGAAAACACAUAUAUAUUGAAAUUGUAUAGUUCGUCGUGAUUCUUUCUAAUCCCACACCAUGUGCCUUUACCGGAUGAUGAGAUGGGACAUUCCUUGGUAUCGCAGUAAAGUCAGAGGUCAUUCGUUAGAGGAUUUAUUAUAUUAAUUAUUGAGAGAUUAUAGAUUUUUUUUUAUCUUUAUUUUUUAUUUUUAAUUCAUUACUCAUAAUAAUCUUAUUAAAGAUAAAAAGAGAAGAGAAUGGGACUACAGUAGUGUUGUUGUGGGCGACAACUAUAGCAACAUCGAUACCACUAGGGUGAUUGUUGUAGCUUGUUGCGAUCGUAGCAUUACCGUUGCUUAGGGCAACUACAGCAAUGUCAUUGCGGUAUUUGUUGGCCACGGUCGAUGUCAACUAGACGUAAAAGACCAUGAUACUCAGCGGUUGCAUGACAAACUCGUAAGUAUUAGUGGGUGCCACAAUGACUAUGUGGUUGCUAGUUGAUACAAAAUCACGUAUGGCUGCGAUGACGAUGAGGUCGUUGAUUAGUCACAUGCGAAGAGCUAUGCACCGGUAACGAAUGACUAGUGCUCCAAGUGUGGGCAUAGUGGGAUGCGAUGACAACAUGAGAAUUUUUUUUUUUUUUAAGUAUAUUUUUAUCUUGAUAUAAGAAAAUUAUAUCUCCUAAGGGCUCUUCACUGAUUUAAUCACCUGAGGAGAAGCGCAAGUAAAAUUCUCCAGCAUCAUUAGAAUCCAUGAAGUAAUAACGAAUUACGGUCAGACCUAAACAAAAGAGGAAUCUCUGUGGCGUGCACCGGUGUGCAAAAAGUGGUGGUCUGGUCAGUGUUAGCCCGAUAGGUACGGCGGGUGUGGCGUGCACCGGCCUGUUAUCCUUCCACCGUCAAGAGCGGGAGGUUAUCGCUGCUCUGUGAAACCAGCCUGACGCGGUGUCCUCCGCUUUAGGAUCCCAGAUGGCUCGGGCCUUCGUUCGGGCCACAUAGCUCAGCUGCCUGACUUGGAACGGGCAAGCCAAGUCUAGCACGACCGCACCCAACCUAUUCGGGCUGAACACAACAUCCCACCACCUUAUUGCCCCCACUCGGGUUACAAGCCGGCGUUACCGGGCUCGGCGAUCGAGGCGCUUCCACAACUUCAUAUAGCCUGUCAGUGAAUCCUAACAAUCGGCGAUGUGGGACUAAGAGCGCUUCCCCUGCUCCCUCCUUU
RNAcentral lists this long non-coding RNA (11632 nucleotides) under Musa acuminata (dwarf banana). RNAcentral describes it as "long non-coding RNA (MACU_LNC005013)". The record is from RNAcentral. Lineage: Eukaryota; Viridiplantae; Streptophyta; Magnoliopsida; Zingiberales; Musaceae.